UACGUAGGGUGCAAGCGUUGUCCGGAAUUAUUGGGCGUAAAGAGCUCGUAGGCGGUCUGUCGCGUCGGCUGUGAAAACCCGGAGCUCAACUCCGGGCCUGCAGUCGAUACGGGCAAACUAGAGUACUGCAGGGGAGACUGGAAUUCCUGGUGUAGCGGUGAAAUGCGCAGAUAUCAGGAGGAACACCGGUGGCGAAGGCGGGUCUCUGGGCAGUAACUGACGCUGAGGCACGAAAGCGUGGGGAGCAAACAGG
This 253-nucleotide ribosomal RNA is filed under the name uncultured bacterium. RNAcentral describes it as "partial 16S ribosomal RNA". It matches the Rfam family "Bacterial small subunit ribosomal RNA", at positions 524 to 776 of the family's 1533-position model. The record is from RNAcentral.